Long non-coding RNA from Equus caballus (horse), 1567 nucleotides. The record is from Ensembl. Lineage: Eukaryota; Metazoa; Chordata; Mammalia; Perissodactyla; Equidae.
GAAAACCUGAAAAUGCUUCCUUUGCCUCCAUUUGGAGAUGGUUUUCCUUAAGAGUCUCAUUAGAUGAUCUAAGCCUUUGAAAUUCAUUUGCUAUGGCAGAUGGCUAGCUAUCCACUCAAACCGCACGAUCCCCUUUCCAUAGCAAGGAGUUCCACUGGGAGGCAACUUCCCAGCCAGGGACCACAUGACCCAGCUCCCGUUGCAUCAUUGUGUGGCCAUCUGAUUUGUCCUUACCAAUGGAACAUGAGCAGAAGUGAUGUGUGUCACUUCUGGGUCAGGGUUUCUUAAGAAGUGGAUGCCUUUUCCAUUUUUCUUUCCUUCUCUGCCAUCCGAGUGCAGAUAACUUUAAAGCCCUAGGGGGAACUGGAAUCAUAAGAUUGAAAGAGCCUGAGGACCUGAACCACCGCCUGGAAGAAAGUUGCCUGCUGACCAGAAACACCUUCCCUGGGCUUUGACCAGGGUGCUGAAGAUUUUCACCUGGCUUACGGCACUUGGACCUCCUGACACAGAGAUGCUAAGAGCAAUGACCCCUCCUCAUGUCCAGCAGGGAACAUCUGGGAUUGUGUUUCAGGAGGGAAGAACCUGCAUCUUUCUUGUCCAUCAUGCUGUCAUCCAUGACCACGCCUGGCACAUAGCAGGUGCUUAGUAAACAUUUGUGAAUAAAUAACCAGGAGUCCAAGGACGCAGACUAGAUGAGAAUUGAGCUGAAUACCCUAGGACCCAAGUUCCUGAUUGUCCACAGGCUGCAGUGACCUGAGAGGCAAGGGUUACAAAUCGACACAGCUGCACAUUGCAGAGGAAAUGCCAGCAGAUGUUCUGACCGCUCCUACAUGUUGCUGGGUGAGUGAUCCAAGGGGAAGCAAAAGGGACUGCUCAAGGAGGAAUUCCAAGAUGGCGCCGUGAGUAGUCCUCUUUGUCUCUCGCCCUUCGAGUCUACAAUUAUUUGGACACUUAUCGCUUGACAAAGGAUAUCCAGACAGCAUCUCAGGACGUCUGAGACACCCACGCGACUAUACAUCGGAAGGCGGACGGACUUUCCUCCGGGAGGAUGUGGAAAUAGGUGAAAACUCUCUGACCCCGACGGGCAGCCUAGUACCCGCAAGCGGCUUUCUUCCAACGGACGCCCCCAGAGGAUCCACACACAUCUAGGGCAGGAGCGAGAACACAACAGAGGAGCGACGGUGGAAACAGGUGACCAGAACCCUACUUAAACCCCCCGCAAUUACUCCUAAACGCAGAGGGAAACUUUGGAGUUGCACACCUGAGCCCGCGGGGAGAGUCUCUCCCCGCCAUUGGCGGGGAGACCCGGCCUGGUGCUCGGGGCGCCCGGAGGGUCCCAGAGAGAGACACGGAGGGCACGGAGGUCUCCCAGCUGCCGUUGCCCGCCCCGUGGGACUAGGGAUUGCCGGAGAUCUCGGAGAGGACCGGGGCGGGGGAACUUUCAAAGGCCGGAUCGGCGACCCGGAGGGGAAGCGCCGGAGCUCCGCCAGGCAGCAGACAAAACUCUCUGUCUGCCGGUAGCAGAGGGGCCACGCUGAGCACUCAGGGCUCCCGGCAGAGGCCCGGG